UUCAGAUCAUCCAAUCCUUGAAACUGACUUUUCAAUAGAAUUCUGAUAUUAACUUGGUUUUUCAAUUGUCCUUACCUUCUAGAAAUAAAACACCCUCAGUACUUAGCAUAAGUAUGCCAAUCCAAUUUCAGCGUGAGUUACAGUUGCACCAUGGCUUGUACAUUGGUCUCUUUAAAAUGUGGCUAACUUCACUUAGUCCUCCAGAACCUGCUAACCCUGGGUGAACCGACAAAACUAAAAGCCUCAGCAGCCAACUGGAGGAACAGACCCUGAUCCUGUUGUCACUGCACACCUCAAUCUGCACAGCCGACCCAUCUCCCUCAAUGACCAAAUCAUUUUGUCUGCACAGAUAAGAGGAACCGGAGACGUCAUUCACAGAUCAAGGCAGGGAAAGGCAAAACUGAGCUAUGGCCAAGAUCAACUCACUACGCUAUCAUUCCUCACCAUGGUGGCAGGAAUAAAGGUGGUCUGCUAUGCUUUAGGACCCCCAGUUCUGAAAGAG
This 502-nucleotide long non-coding RNA is filed under the name Macaca mulatta (Rhesus monkey). RNAcentral describes it as "lncRNA (ENSMMUG00000057843.1)". The record is from RNAcentral. Lineage: Eukaryota; Metazoa; Chordata; Mammalia; Primates; Cercopithecidae.